GUUAGUGUAGGGUGAAGGAGUUAGUGUAGGGUGAAGGAGUUAGUGUAGGGUGAAAGAGUUAGUGUAGGGUGAAGGAGUUAGUGUAGGGUGAAAGUGUUAGUGUAGGGUGAAGGAGUUAGUGUAGGGUGAAGGAGUUAGUGUAGGGUGAAGGAGUUAGUGUAGGGUGAAAGUGUUAGUGUAGGGUGAAGGAGUUAGUGUAGGGUGAAGGAGUUAGUGUAGGGUGAAGGAGUUAGUGUAGAGUGAAGGAGUUAGUGUAGGGUGAAGGAGUUAGUGUAGGGUGAAGGAGUUAGUGUAGGGUGAAGGAGUUAGUGUAGGGUGAAAGUGUUAGUGUAGAGUGAAGGAGUUAGUGU
Ictalurus punctatus (channel catfish) is the source of this 350-nucleotide long non-coding RNA. The record is from Ensembl. Lineage: Eukaryota; Metazoa; Chordata; Actinopteri; Siluriformes; Ictaluridae.